RNAcentral lists this ribosomal RNA (468 nucleotides) under uncultured bacterium. Its description in RNAcentral is "partial 16S ribosomal RNA". It matches the Rfam family "Bacterial small subunit ribosomal RNA", at positions 28 to 507 of the family's 1533-position model. The record is from RNAcentral.
GACGAACGCUGGCGGCGUGCCUAAUACAUGCAAGUCGAACGGAAAGGCGCGGCUCUUGCGGGGUGCUCGAGAGGCGAACGCGUGUGAGUAACGCGUGGAUCACGUCCCUGACAUUGGGAUAUAACUAGGAAACACGGGAUCUAAUACGAUAUGAGCUCCUGCUGCAUGGUGGGGGUUGGUAAGAUGCGGCGGUUCGGGAUGGACUCGCGGCUUUUCAUCUUGUUGGUGGGGUAGUGGCUUACCAAGGCUCCGACGGGUAGCCAGCCUGGGAGGGUGACCGGGCACAUUGGGACUGAGGUACGGCCCAGAGUGCAACGGGAGGCAGCGGGGGGAAAUAUUGCGCACUGGGCGGAAGCCUGAUGCAGCAACGCCGGGUGCGGAAUGACGGCCUUCGGGUUGUAAACCGCUUUCGCCUGUGACGAAGCGUGAGUGACGGUAAUGUGUAAGGAAGCACCGGCUAACUACGUG